RNAcentral lists this small RNA (289 nucleotides) under Acidocella aminolytica 101 = DSM 11237. RNAcentral describes it as "5' ureB small RNA". It matches the Rfam family "5' ureB small RNA". The record is from Rfam by way of RNAcentral. Lineage: Bacteria; Pseudomonadati; Pseudomonadota; Alphaproteobacteria; Acetobacterales; Acidocellaceae.
CUUCCUCAAUCUGCUGCGGACAGAUAAAAUGGAUAUGUGCAUCAAUCCCGCCGGCCGUCAGAAUUUUGCCUUCACCCGCGAUAAUCUCCGUACCUGGCCCGAUGAUAAUAUCAACACCCGGCUGCACAUCUGGGUUUCCGGCCUUGCCGAUUUUCGAUAUCCGUCCGGCUACAAUCGCAACAUCGGCCUUCACAAUGCCCCAAUGGUCGAUAAUCAGCACGUUGGUGAUAACCGUAUCAGCCGCGCCAUCGGCAUUACAAAUCUGCGACUGCCCCAUGCCAUCACGAAU